GACGAACGCUGGCGGCGUGCCUAAUACAUGCAGGUUGAGCGCUGAAGGAUGGUACUUGUACCAACUGGAUGAGCAGCGAACGGGUGAGUAACGCGUGGGGAAUCUGCCUUUGAGCGGGGGACAACAAUUGGAAACGAAUGCUAAUACCGCAUAAAAACAUUAAACACAAGUUUUAAGUUUGAAAGAUGCAAUUGCAUCACUCAAAGAUGAUCCCGCGUUGUAUUAGCUAGUUGGUGAGGUAAAGGCUCACCAAGGCGAUGAUACAUAGCCGACCUGAGAGGGUGAUCGGCCACCUUGGGACUGAGACACGGCCCAAACUCCUACGGGAGGCAGCCGUAGGGAAUCUUCGGCGAUGGACGAAAGUCUGACCGAGCAACGCCGCGUGAGUGAAGAAGGUUGUCGGAUCGUAAAACUCUGUUGGUUGGGAAGAACGUGGGUGAGAGUAGAAAGCUCAUCAAGUGACGGUAACUACCCAGAAAGGGACGGCUAACUACGUG
RNAcentral lists this ribosomal RNA (497 nucleotides) under uncultured bacterium. RNAcentral's name for it is "partial 16S ribosomal RNA". It matches the Rfam family "Bacterial small subunit ribosomal RNA", at positions 28 to 507 of the family's 1533-position model. The record is from RNAcentral.